RNAcentral lists this ribosomal RNA (301 nucleotides) under uncultured bacterium. RNAcentral's name for it is "partial 16S ribosomal RNA". It matches the Rfam family "Bacterial small subunit ribosomal RNA", at positions 509 to 807 of the family's 1533-position model. The record is from RNAcentral.
CAGUAGCCGCGGUAAUGCGAAGGGGGCUAGCGUUGCUCGGAAUCACUGGGCGUAAAGGGUGCGUAGGCGGGUCUUUAAGUCAGGGGUGAAAUCCUGGAGCUCAACUCCAGAACUGCCUUUGAUACUGAAGAUCUUGAGUUCGGGAGAGGUGAGUGGAACUGCGAGUGUAGAGGUGAAAUUCGUAGAUAUUCGCAAGAACACCAGUGGCGAAGGCGGCUCACUGGCCCGAUACUGACGCUGAGGCACGAAAGCGUGGGGAGCAAACAGGAUUAGAUACCCCCGUAGUCCCUGUCUCUUAUAC